GCCAGGCAUGGUGGCGUGUGCCUGUAAUCCCAGCUACUCAGGAGGCUGAGGCAGGAGAAUUGCUUGAACCCAGGAAGCGGAGGUUGCAGUGAGCCAAGAUCACCCCACUGUACUCCAGCCUGGGUGACAGAGUGGGACUCUGUCUCAA
Molecule: non-coding RNA, 148 nt
Filed under: Gorilla gorilla gorilla (western lowland gorilla)
Lineage: Eukaryota; Metazoa; Chordata; Mammalia; Primates; Hominidae
Source: Rfam by way of RNAcentral